UUGAGAGUUUGAUCCUGGCUCAGGAUGAACGCUGGCGGUGUGCCUUAGGUAUGCAAGUCGAACGAGUUUGCAGCAAUGCAAGCUAGUGGCGGACGGGUGAGUAACGCGUAUGGAUCUACCCAAGAGUUGGAGAUAACCUGCCGAAAGGUGGGCUAAUACACAAUAGUCUCUACGGAGUAAAGGGCUUAACUGCCCGCUUUUGGAGGAACAUGCGUCCUAUCAGCUAGUUGGUGAGGUAAUGGCUCACCAAGGCUAUGACGGGUAUCUGGACUGAGAGGUUGAACAGACACAGGGGCACUGAGACACGGGCUCCACAUCUACGGAUGGCAGCAACCAGGAAUAUUGGGCAAUGGGGGAAACCCUGACCCAGCGACACCGCGUGGAGGAUGAAGGCUUUAGGGUCGUAAACUCCUUUUACUAAGCCAUUCACGGCUUAGAGAAUAAGCACCUACUAACUACGUGCCAGAAGUCUCGGUAAUACGUAGGGUGCAAGCGUUAUCCGGAUUUACUGGGCGUAAAGAGUAUGUAGGCGGUCUACCAAGUCGUAGUUUAAAUCCCGGGGCUCAACCCCGGUCUUGGUUACGAUACUGGCUGACUUGAAGAUUAUUCGGGGUACUGGAACAGUUGGUGUAGUGGUGAAAUACGUUGAUAUCAACUGGAACACCGAAGGCGAAGGCAAGUACCUAGGAUUUUCCUGACGCUGAGAUACGAAAGCUAGGGUAGCGAAACAGAUUAGAGACCUGUGUAGUCCUAGCCGUAAACGAUGGAUGCUAGCUAGUGUGCAAGCACUGGCGUAAGCUAACGCGUUAAGCAUCCCGCCUGGGGAGUACGACCGCAAGGUUAAAACUCAAAGGAAUUGACGGGGACCCGCACAACCAGUGGAGCGUGUGGUUUAAUUCGAGACGAAGCGAAAAACCUCACCAAGGCUUGACAUAAUAGCGUUCUAUGCCCGAGAAACCGGGCAAAUCCGUAAGGAGGCUAUUACAGGUGUUGCAUGGCUGUCGUCAGCUCGUGCCGUGAGGUGUUCCCUUAAGUGGGGAAACGAGUGCAACCCUUGUCUAAUGUUAAAUAUUCAUUAGAGACUGCCCCGAUUUUUCGGGGAGGAAGGAAAGGCGGACGUCAAGUCAGCAUGGCCCUUAUGCCUUGGGCUACACACACCCUACAAUGGCGAAGAACAAUGGGUCGCAAGCUCGUAAGAGCAAGCUAAUCUCAGAAAUUUCGCCUCAGUUCAGAUUGAGGUCUGAAACUCGACCUCAUGAAGUUGGAAUUGGUAGUAAUCGCGGAUCAGCGGGCCGCGGUGAAUACGUUAUCGGGUCUUGUACACACCGCCCGUCAAGGCAGCAAAGUCGAUAGCUAUCGAAGGUCGCGUAUGCGAACGAGAUAGAGAUUGAUGAUGAGGCUUAAGUCGUAACAAGGUAUCCCUAGCCGAAGCUGGGGAUGGAUCACCUCCUUUCU
RNAcentral lists this ribosomal RNA (1455 nucleotides) under Candidatus Moraniibacteriota bacterium. RNAcentral's name for it is "bacterial SSU rRNA". It matches the Rfam family "Bacterial small subunit ribosomal RNA". Lineage: Bacteria; Candidatus Moraniibacteriota. The record is from RNAcentral.